RNAcentral lists this ribosomal RNA (492 nucleotides) under uncultured bacterium. Its description in RNAcentral is "partial 16S ribosomal RNA". It matches the Rfam family "Bacterial small subunit ribosomal RNA", at positions 29 to 507 of the family's 1533-position model. The record is from RNAcentral.
AGUGAACGCUGGCGGUAGGCCUAACACAUGCGAGUCGAACGGCAGCACAGUAAGAGCUUGCUCUUACGGGUGGCGAGUGGCGGACGGGUGAGGAAUACAUCGGAAUCUACUUUUUCGUGGGGGAUAACGUAGGGAAACUUACGCUAAUACCGCAUACGACCUACGGGUGAAAGCAGGGGAUCUUCGGACCUUGCGCGAUUGAAUGAGCCGAUGUCGGAUUAGCUAGUUGGCGGGGUGAAGGCCCACCAAGGCGACGAUCCGUAGCUGGUCUGAGAGGAUGAUCAGCCACACUGGAACUGAGACACGGUCCAGACUCCUACGGGAGGCAGCAGUGGGGAAUAUUGGACAAUGGGCGCAAGCCUGAUCCAGCCAUACCGCGUGGGUGAAGAAGGCCUUCGGGUUGUAAAGCCCUUUUGUUGGGAAAGAAAAGCAGCAGGUUAAUACCCCGCUGUUCUGACGGUACCCAAAGAAUAAGCACCGGCUAACUUCGUG